RNAcentral lists this ribosomal RNA (407 nucleotides) under uncultured bacterium. RNAcentral's name for it is "partial 16S ribosomal RNA". It matches the Rfam family "Bacterial small subunit ribosomal RNA", at positions 355 to 754 of the family's 1533-position model. The record is from RNAcentral.
UGGGGAAUUUUGGACAAUGGGCGAAAGCCUGAUCCAGCAAUGCCGCGUGUGUGAAGAAGGCCUUCGGGUUGUAAAGCACUUUUGUCCGGAAAGAAAUCCUUGGCUCUAAUACAGUCGGGGGAUGACGGUACCGGAAGAAUAAGCGCCGGCUAACUACGUGCCAGCAGCCGCGGUAAUACGUAGGGUGCAAGCGUUAAUCGGAAUUACUGGGCGUAAAGCGUGCGCAGGCGGUUUGCUAAGACCGAUGUGAAAUCCCCGGGCUCAACCUGGGAACUGCAUUGGUGACUGGCAGGCUAGAGUAUGGCAGAGGGGGGUAGAAUUCCACGUGUAGCAGUGAAAUGCGUAGAGAUGUGGAGGAAUACCGAUGGCGAAGGCAGCCCCCUGGGCCAAUACUGACGCUCAUGCAC